GGUGGACGGGUGAGAACACGUGGGCAACCUACCUUAUAGUUUGGGAUAACUCCGGGAAACCGGGGCUAAUACCGAAUAAUCUGUUUCACCUCAUGGUGAAAUAUUGAAAGACGGUUUCGGCUGUCCCUAUAGGAUGGGCCCGCGGCGCAUUAGCUAGUUGGUGAGGUAACGGCUCACCAAGGCGACGAUGCGUAUCCGACCUGAGAGGGUGAUCGGCCACACUGGGACUGAGACAUGGUUCAGACUCCUAAUGGAGGAUGCACUAUGGAAUCUUUCCCUACUGGGCGAUAUUCUGAUGGUUCAUCUCCCCUCCUCGUGAUGAAUGAUUUCCUUUCCUCCUACUCUGUUGUUCCGCAAAUACCCGCUCUUUCAUACAUGCCCUGCCCUCUUCGCAUUCCCUUCUCUUAUAGAUCUCCCUCUUACUUACCCCUCCCUCCCUUCUCGACUUUCCUAAUUCUACUAUCCUUCCGUAUUUAACUUAUUCUCGUCUAUAUAAUCCCCAUCCUCACUAUCAUACACCUCCUCACCUCUUCUCUCUAGUCUCUCAAUACCUCUUUUAUUCCUCUUACCCUUCUCUCUCCUCCUUCCUCUUCUACUUGACACUCUACCAUAUAUAUCUUCUCUCCCCUUUACUCUUUUUUCUUACAUCUACCCUCCUUCAUCUCUUUCCUCUCCUCUUUUCCUCUUAUUUAACCUCUCCUUUAUUCUCCUUUCUUCCUCACUCUAUGCUUGUCUUUCCCCCUUUCCUAUUUUCGUUCUCCUUCUCCCUUAUUCCCCAUUUUCUC
Molecule: ribosomal RNA, 785 nt
Filed under: Bacillus cereus
Lineage: Bacteria; Bacillati; Bacillota; Bacilli; Caryophanales; Bacillaceae
Description: partial 16S ribosomal RNA
Rfam family: Bacterial small subunit ribosomal RNA (bases 1-310)
Source: RNAcentral